GAGAUCUGCCUGCUGCAUCCAGAGGAGAGAAGGCUUGGAGCUUGGGUACGGCUUCUCUCUGACUCUGAUUUUCAUGGUCAGAAGCUUGGUGUUUCCAAGCUGUUCAGCUGAGGAGUAGGCCUUAGACCAGGUGAGUAGGUGACUCCUUCCCUUGUCAUCGUCGUCGUCGUCGUCGUCGUCGUUGUGAACUGGCUGAGGUCUUCCUGAGAUCCCCAUCCUCAUACCUCCACCCUCGGGUCAUGGAGAGUUCCCACUACCAGAAGCCAGGCUUUCUCUGUGGGAUCUGGAUCAUGUGGUACUUCCAAGUAUUCUGGCUUGAAGCCUGAGUCAUUGGUGUGCCUUGGCCGAGGCAUGAAAUUAGGGCUAUCUUCUACGAAUCGUGGUUAAUGUGUCUAAGGGGGUGGAUCUCACUUGAGAGUAAAUUCAGCUACACCAAACAAUAACUUAAGCAAAUGUGGGACAGACAGGCAAUGUGAGGCUCAGAGAGUGGCUGGAAGAUGUCAGGGAGAAGUCAGAAUUGCUUCCUGAGUCACCGUCUAUAGUGAGUACCCUUAGACUUUGUUGCUAAAAACUGGCCACCAGACCCUAGCCAUCACAUCAAUGUUC
Molecule: long non-coding RNA, 606 nt
Filed under: Mus pahari (shrew mouse)
Lineage: Eukaryota; Metazoa; Chordata; Mammalia; Rodentia; Muridae
Description: lncRNA (MGP_PahariEiJ_G0005290.1)
Source: RNAcentral